Long non-coding RNA from Mobula hypostoma (lesser devil ray), 1003 nucleotides. RefSeq lists it as uncharacterized. The record is from RefSeq and is a predicted model, not a curated record. The transcript has 3 exons. NCBI's taxonomy places the organism in Eukaryota, Metazoa, Chordata, Chondrichthyes, Myliobatiformes, Myliobatidae.
GCAGUGACUCAGAGACCAGACCCUCUGUCUCCAGUAGUAGGAAAUCAUUAGACUACACUCUUUCCCCUACAGUCUUUGCAGUGGCUGCACUGAGCUUCAAUACGUCUGUCAGCAUGUCCGCAUGGACCCUGGAACGUACGAGUCAGCCGGCAUUACCUUAUGGAAUAUCUCGUUAUACUGGGAGACCAGACUGCACCCUUCAAUGAGCCGAACCGGAACUGGGAUCAGAACCGGGUUUGUUAUCACUGUCACUGUCACUGUGAUUUUCCAGCAGCAACGUUCGUUUCGCCUCCGUGCAUUUGUCUGGAAGCUGCCCUUCCCAGGCCGUCCCUGCGAACAUGCAGAGAGGAAAAUUGUCAGCGUCAUUCACCUUCAAACACCCCAGUCCUUCCAGCUAGUCUCGGAAGAAAAUCCAAAAAGUUGGUCUCUGUGCUCUUCUACUCAGACUGGAGGAGAAACACUUCACCUUCCAGCUGGGUAGCCUCCAACCUGAUGGCAUAAACAUCGAUUUGUCUAGCUUCUGGUGCUGCUCUACCCACUGAGUUCCUCCAGCAGAUCAUUUGCUGCUCCACAUUCCAGGAUUUGAACUCUCCGCGGCCUUCAACAGAAAUCAUAGCUGUGCUGACCCUGACUGGCCGGCAGCUUGUUAGUCAUUCACAUGGGAAUAAGGGCAGGGGUGUAAUCCUGGGGUAAAUCCCUUCAAGUUCUCUUUGUUUCAGCAAACAGAGCCAGGAAGCUACUGGCUGGAAGGAGUAAGGCUGACGGCAAAGCUUACUUUGGACAGUACAGUCACAUGUGGUUAGCAACAACACUUUGCAAUGUAAGACUGGAGUUUGAUUCCUGCCACAGUCCGUAAGGAGAUUAUAAAUUCUCCUCGUGACCACGUGAGUUUCCUCCGGGUCUCCCGUUUCCUCCCACAGUUUGAGGAUGUACAGUAGGGGUUAGGGAUAGUGAGUCGUGAGCAGAGUAUGUUGGCGGUGGAGGCGUGGCGACACUAACAGGC